This 460-nucleotide ribosomal RNA is filed under the name uncultured bacterium. RNAcentral describes it as "partial 16S ribosomal RNA". It matches the Rfam family "Bacterial small subunit ribosomal RNA", at positions 338 to 795 of the family's 1533-position model. The record is from RNAcentral.
CCUACGCGGGGCAGCAGUGAGGAAUAUUGGUCAAUGGGCGCUAGCCUGAACCAGCCAAGUAGCGUGAAGGAUGACUGCCCUAUGGGUUGUAAACGUCUUUUGUAUGGGAAUAAAGUGCAGUAUGUAUACUGCUUUGCAUGUACCUUAUGAAUAAGGAUCGGCUAACUCCGUGACAGCAGCCGAGGUAAUACGGAGAUUCCGAGCGUUAUCCGGAUUUGUUGGGUUUAACGGGAACGUAGGCGGGUUGUUAAGUCAGUUGUUAAAGUUUGCGGCUCAACCGUAAAAUUGCAGUUGAUACUUGCAUCCUUGAGUACAGUAGAGGUAGGCGGAAUUCGUUGUGUAGCGGUGAAAUGCUUAGAUAUCACGAAGAACUCCGAUUGCGAAGGCAGCCUGCUGGACUGUAACUGACGCUGAUGCUCGAAAGUGUGGGUAUCAAACAGGAUUAGAUACCCUGGUAGUC